UUAGUUAUAGCUUCAAUAUGAUUGUCCUCCUACCUCUUGCAUAUAAAACAAAUGAUGCUCAUCAUAGUCCACCAUAAUUAUUGCCCAAGUUCUAUUUAACAGUUUUUGUGCAUUGUUCUGUUUUAUUACAAAAUCAGCUGAGGAAUUCAGUCGACAAUUAUAUGAUUGGUUUAGCUUCUGAAUUAUAUGGAGAAGCUGCAGAUAAGAAAUUUCGGCAGGGGUUUUGGUUAAUUUGGCACAUUACUCUUUGGGUGAUGUGGAAGUCAUGAAAUAAUAUCAUUUUCUCCAAUGGAGCAAUAUAUACGAGGCAAGUGGUUGAUGAUAUCAAAACUUUGUCGUGGCGUUGGCGUUGGCGUUGGGGGUUAAGUAGCCUUUUUUGUUUUAUGAGUGGUCCAUAAGAUGAAGUGUUCUGCUGAUACCUUCUUUGCGCUCUGUUAAAAGAUGAUGGUAUUUCUGUCAGAUUUAGAUUGAAUUGUUUUUCCGUUUUUCCUGCGAACGGUCUAUGUUGUACGCUUCGGCAGAGUUUAUUUGCUGUCUUAGUUGUUGGUGUUUUUGUCUUGGAUGAUGAUCGGUUCAGCUUGCAGAAAGAUAAUGCUGUCUUAGGAGUUCUAAUUCACUUAUGAGCUAACCAAUGUUCCAGUCACCAUACUCUUUUGGCUUGGCUUAAUUAAAUCUGGUAGGAAGAGGUCUCUUAAUGUGAAAGACUCUCAAAUAGUCAAACCCUGUCAUUAUUGUGUAGCUGUAGUAACUGAUAUUUCAGACUCAUUGGAACACUGUUUCAUGAGUGUUUCUUCAAUAUUAUCCAAAUUAUUCACAGAUUCUCUUUAAUUUAGAUACUGUUUGAAGUCGGUUUUUGGUGGCUAGAAAAGGGCUACUUACAUAGGGAAUGACCGGAAAGGCCGAGUAAAGCAUUGUAGAGUGCAGCUGCCGGGAUGUCGACUCUCAGGGGAGGUACUACGGUAGGAACAAGGCUAUGACGGGGUGCCCAUGUACAACAUUGAAUACUUGAAACCAUCAAGAUGGGGUAGGAGUUAAAGAAAUGAGAUUUCUCUCUUC
Medicago truncatula (barrel medic) is the source of this 1056-nucleotide long non-coding RNA. RefSeq lists it as uncharacterized. The record is from RefSeq and is a predicted model, not a curated record. The transcript has 2 exons. Lineage: Eukaryota; Viridiplantae; Streptophyta; Magnoliopsida; Fabales; Fabaceae.